GGUGCGUAACGCGUAUGCAAUCUACCUUGUACAGGGGAAUAGCCCAGGGAAACUUGGAUUAAUGCCCCAUAGUAUUAUUUUGUAGCAUUACAUUAUAUUAAAGAUUUAUCGGUACAAGAUGAGCAUGCGUCCCAUUAGUUAGUUGGUAAGGUAACGGCUUACCAAGACAGCGAUGGGUAGGGGCCCUGAGAGGGGGAUCCCCCACACUGGUACUGAGACACGGACCAGACUCC
RNAcentral lists this ribosomal RNA (233 nucleotides) under uncultured bacterium. Its description in RNAcentral is "partial 16S ribosomal RNA". It matches the Rfam family "Bacterial small subunit ribosomal RNA", at positions 105 to 339 of the family's 1533-position model. The record is from RNAcentral.